Molecule: long non-coding RNA, 1231 nt
Organism: Fukomys damarensis (Damara mole-rat)
Lineage: Eukaryota; Metazoa; Chordata; Mammalia; Rodentia; Bathyergidae
Exons: 3
Source: RefSeq, a predicted model, not a curated record
CUGGCUAUGCAGAGAUGACUCAAGGUGAAGUGGUCCAAGCAGGACCCCUCCCCACUGGAUGGACAGCUCAAUGAGUGGAACUAUAGGCACUCAUACAGGCUCUCUGAUGGACAAAAGAAGUUUGGAGACCAAAACUAGAAAAGGAACUAGGCUAAGAGGACUGCCAACAUUUUGGCCCUAGGCCCUCGAUAUCAACAAGAAUCCAGGACAUGAAGGAACCUUUUCUACAGGAUCCUACAUCUUUGCCAUCUUCCAAAAUAGAUCAGAAUGGCCUGCUCAACAUUGGGCAGACGGAGAAGACACCUGAGGAGGUAAAGUCAAGUUUCUGCAGCUCGAGCAUGUUGAAAAGUGACACUACAGAAUCUGUCCCUAGGACUCAAGUGAAGGUCUCUGUUCUAAUCCGUGAAGUUCCAUAAUGUAAUAUUCUUUUCCUGGGAAGGCAGAAGGUGUGAUUUAGAAGGAAAAGAGCAGGCUUUGGAGUUGAAGAAUGACCGACUACCCAACUACUAUGCGACUACUGUCCAAGUGUGGAGUUCUAGCCCCACAUUGAAGAGAGUUGAUUUGCCGCCUGAGCUGCAUUCUCCUUGUAUGUAAAAUGAAAUUCAUUUCUCCAACAAAUGUCUAACCCGCACCUGCUCAGUAAUCUGUCAUUCCUGUGGUAGGUGCAACAGGUGAGUUUUAUCCAUGAAGUGCCCAUUGCUAAAUUUCUGUACAUUUGGGAUUUAUUUUUUUAAAUUUUCUGUUGAUUUUUCUAGUAGAAGUAGCCCAAUUCAAUACAAUGGCACAUGAAAAAUCAGAUUUGCAAGUUUUGGAGAAGGUCAAAAGUGAAUUAUCAGAUCAUUCAUGCAUGGAUGAUGAUAAAGCCUUUGAUGCUGGCCAUGUGAACCAAAGUUCCUGUGAUAGUGAAAUAGAGCAAGAAUCAACUGAUACCAACACAGGGAAGACAGAUCUUGAUUCUGAUGACAAAGAAAACAGCAAUGUGGGUGUAUAGCUGACUAGUUAAAAUGUUGCAAAAUGGCCAGACAAUCAAAUGGACAAUCCAACAUUUGUAUUAGGUCCGAAAAUAUAGUGAGGAUCUUGGCAGGGGCAAAACCUAUUGGAGAAAAUGCCGGCACUGCCAUUUAAAUUGUAACAGAUGAAAUGCUACAAGAUGUUGUGAAAUUCACAAAGGCUCAAAUACAACUAAAAUGUUCUGUAUGCACCAAUAGCCAUAUUCAAAAGAAAUAUUUAU